UCAAGGACUCUUUGAUCAAUCAGCGCCAGAAGAUGUUAAUAUUUCGCUGCUCACGUUAAUUAAAAUACAAAACAUGCGCUGCAUGAAACUUGAUUCGAACCAUUUUUUUAGAUUUGUUAUCAAAUUCACUAAACAUCUGACGCGAUUGACUACUCGAGACGCGACGAUCGACGUGUUGGCCACUCUAAUUUCAUUCUAUGAUCAACCAUAUUUUCUUUUGUCUAUAGCAGUAUGACGGCAGUUGGGUAGGCGGUGAUGAUACUGUCAAUGAAGGAUUCGUUUGUAAACGAAGUAAAACACAGACGAUAUUGGGAAUCGCAAUAUGGAAUGAAGUGUUAUCACAGCCUGAUGGUAAAGACGAGAUGGAAAAGUUACUCAGUACUUUGAUAACAGGAAAGAAAGAUGACAAAAUGAGAAUAGACCAUGACCGUCAUAUUAGAACCCGAGAUAGGUGAUCGCCCUCGGCAAACAUAACGAUACCUGGACGAAUGAGAACUGGAAAUCGUUUUUACUCAAUUUCAAUAUAAGAGAUAUCACCGAGCUAUGAUGAUGCAUGAAAUUGGUAGAAGAGGGAGCUGUAACCGAUAAGGGGCAACGGGAACCACCCUACCUACGGUGGCAAGUCAGACAUCUUCUUGCACAUAAUUAUCACCCACGAUAUUCUAACAUGCAAAUUCAGAGAUGCGGUAGAAAACGUACUUCUAACGCUUAGCAGAAAUCUGAGAGUUGGGCGUAUACGAUACAUGACUGACAGUAACAUGGAACACGUUUAUGUCUACUGAUAUGAAUUGGCGCGCAACUUGUUAUCAUUCCCCGGACUACGAGUAAUUUGUACGAUUUACAUGUAAACCCAUAUUCAAAUUUUCAGCUGGCUGUUCUUCUUAUGGACACUCAAGGACUCUUUGAUCAAUCAGCGCCAGAAGAUGUUAAUAUUUCGCUGCUCACGUUAAUUAAAAUACAAAACAUGCGCUGCAUGAAACUUGGUUCGAACCAUUUUUUUAGAUUUGUUAUCAAAUCCACUAAACAGCUGACGCGAUCGACUACUCGAGACGCGACGAUCGACGUGUUGGCCACCCUAAUUUCAUUCCACGAUCAACCAUAUUUCCUCUUGUCUAUAGCAGAAUGACGCCAGUUGGGUAUCGGUGAUGAUACCGUCAAUGAAGGAUUUGUUUGCAAACAGAAGUAAAACACAGACGAUAUUGGGAAUUGCAAUAUGGAAUGAAGUGUUAUCACAGCCUGAGGGUAAAGAGGAGAUGGAAAAGUUACCCAGUACUUGAUAACAGGAAAGAAAGAUGACAAAAUGAGAAUAGACCAAGACCGUCAUAUUAGGACCCGAGAUAGGUGAUCGCCCUCGGCAAACAUAACGAUACCUGGACGAAUAAGGACUGGAAAUCGUUUUUACUCAAUUUCAAUAUAAGAGAUAUCACCGAGCUAUGAUGAUGCAUGAAAUUGGUACAAAAGGGAGCUGUAACCGAUAAGCGGCCACGGGAACCACCCUACCUACGGUGGCAAGUCAGACAUCUUCUUGCACAUAAUUAUCACCCACGAUAUUCUAACAUGCAAAUUCAGAGAUGCGGUGGAAAACGUACUUCUAACGCUUAGCAGAAAUCUGAGACAUGGGCGUAUACGAUACAUGACUGACAGUAACAUGGAACACGUUUAUGUCUACUGAUAUGAAUUGGCGCGCAACUUGUUAUCAUUCCCCAGACUACGAGUAAUUUGUCGACACUUAUCGUCUGUCGGUAUUAAAAUAUUCUGCUUUGAUCUCACGCACAGUCAGGUAUAAUUUGUACGCAACAAAGCCGACACCUGAUUAUGCAAUGGGAAUCUAGUCAUACACAAACAAAAGUUCCCAAAUACGUAACAACGUUUUCUUUUAUUAACAAUAUAUUAUUUCACAGCAAAAUUUCGAUUUACAUGUAAACCCAUAUUCAAAUUUUCAGCUGACUGUUCUUCUUAUGGACACUCAAGGACUCUUUGAUCAAUCAGCGCCAGAAGAUUUUAAUAUUUCGCUGCUCACGUUAAUUAAAAUACAAAACAUGCACUGCAUGAAACAUGAUUCGAACCAUUUUUUUUAGAUUUGUUAUCAAAUUCACUUAACAUCUGACGCGAUUGACUACUCGAGACGCGACGAUCGACGUGUGGCCACCCUAGUUUCAUUCUACGAUCAACCAUAUUUUCUCUUGUCUAUAGCAGAAUGACGCCAGUUGGGUAGGCUGUGAUGAAACCGUCAAUGAAGGAUUCGUUUGUGAACGAAGUAAAACACAGACGAUAUUGGGAAUCGCAAUAUGGA
This is a non-coding RNA of Styela clava, 2293 nucleotides long. The record is from RefSeq and is a predicted model, not a curated record. Lineage: Eukaryota; Metazoa; Chordata; Ascidiacea; Stolidobranchia; Styelidae.